Acanthosepion pharaonis is the source of this 100-nucleotide non-coding RNA. The record is from the annotation of a GenBank genome assembly. NCBI's taxonomy places the organism in Eukaryota, Metazoa, Mollusca, Cephalopoda, Sepiida, Sepiidae.
UCAUAUCACGUUGAAACACCAGUUUCCGUCACGAUCACCGAAGUUAAGCAACGUCGAGCCUGGUCAGUACCUAGAUGGGUGACCGCUUGGGAAUACCCAG